RNAcentral lists this ribosomal RNA (301 nucleotides) under uncultured bacterium. RNAcentral describes it as "partial 16S ribosomal RNA". It matches the Rfam family "Bacterial small subunit ribosomal RNA", at positions 509 to 809 of the family's 1533-position model. The record is from RNAcentral.
CAGCAGCCGCGGUAAUACAGAGGGUGCGAGCGUUAAUCGGAUUUACUGGGCGUAAAGCGUGCGUAGGCGGCUUUUUAAGUCGGAUGUGAAAUCCCUGAGCUUAGCUUAGGAAUUGCAUUCGAUACUGGGAAGCUAGAGUAUGGGAGAGGAUGGUAGAAUUCCAGGUGUAGCGGUGAAAUGCGUAGAGAUCUGGAGGAAUACCGAUGGCGAAGGCAGCCAUCUGGCCUAAUACUGACGCUGAGGUACGAAAGCAUGGGGAGCAAACAGGAUUAGAUACCCCCGUAGUCCCUGUCUCUUAUAA